CAAGCAACCAAUAGAGAGUUUGGCAAUCCGUUUCCAAAAUGAUAUCCUGGACACCAUGCUCAUGAACACCUUCCAACAUGGCAAAGGCCUCACCUUCAACCGCCGUAAAAGCCCCCAUACACGAACCAAACCUGCAUCCAAGAGUCGUCCCAUGAGCAUCCAUCAUCACCACACCAAUGCCCAUUCCUUGGCCACGACGGAUGGCAGCAUCACAGCGGAUUUUUACUUGCCCGACCCUACUACAUUCAAUCGUGACAGCACGUUGUUGGACGAGAAUAGAUUACAGUUGUUUAGCAACAAAUACCUCGCAAUAUAUAUUGAAUUGUUUUUUUCUUCUUGACUUUUUGAAUUGUAUAGCUUAAACAUCGCAAUAUAUGCUUAUGUAUCAAAUUUAAAAAUUUAGAUUUACAGUUUCUUUUAUUUUAUAU
Molecule: long non-coding RNA, 428 nt
Filed under: Salvia miltiorrhiza (redroot sage)
Lineage: Eukaryota; Viridiplantae; Streptophyta; Magnoliopsida; Lamiales; Lamiaceae
Description: long non-coding RNA (SMIL_LNC010753)
Source: RNAcentral